CAGAAACAUAGGCAAUGUUGCUAAUUGACAUCAACUAGGAUAAGUAUUUUAUGCCUCAAUACUGUUUCCAAUCAGCACCUAAAUGUUCUAUAAGUGUGACUAAGGAGCCACCACUUGUGAAAUACAGAAGCCAGAUGUCAUGCCAGAUGAAUGCAACAACCUGUUCCAACAAAAGCUGCCACCAGAUGCUUUAGAGAGCCAUUUCUCUACUGAGGGCCAUAAUAUCAGAGAGGUUACAAAAAUUAAGUGGAGGUGGUUCAUCAGUGUUAUUCCAAAUUCUGGCCUUUCUCUGGGCAGAAUAAAGACUGGCAAGCUCCCACAAUACUAUAAUUUAAUGUCAUUAAUUGGUCAUUAGUGUUGUUUCCUCUGAUUUUUACAGCACAAGUGGUGGAAUUACUUUUUAAACUUCAAGUAAGUUGUCUAUAGUACAAACUUGUGGGCCAUACUGAAGAAAUUUUACUGCUCAGAAGUGCAAAAUCAUCUGUGAUUGUUGCAGCAUGUCCCACAGUUCUCUGCUAGUGACUGAUGGGUUUUAUUCACUUGCUUUGCAGUAACACCUUGAAGGCCUCUGGGAGUGACUGUGCCAUUUCAUACAUGCUGCAGAUCUCUGGAGGUGAAAUCAAACUACCUCACAUCAAUGUAUGGCCCUUAAUGCCUGAAGUUUAAAAGCAGCAAAUCAAGUGAAGACAGAAACAAAGAAAAGGCAGCAGUUAAUUUGACUGAGUCCUUCACCAACAACAGAAUAUUAGAACAACUUCCUGCUCUGCCACCAAGAUGCAAGAAGUCCUUCUGGUGUCUGUACUGCAAUGAAGAUGGUGAUCAUGGCAGGGACCGUGAUGCUGGCUUAUUACUUCGAGUACACGGACACCUUCACCGUCAACGUGCAAGGCUUCUUCUGCUACGAGGGCGCGUACCGAAAGCCGUACCCGGGCCCGGAGGACCGCAGCGCCGUGCCGCCGGUGCUCCUCUACUCGCUGACGGCAGGCGUGCCCGUGCUGGUGAUUAUCGUUGGAGAAACUGCAGUCUUUUGUCUACAGUUAGCUACAAAGGAUUUUGAAAACCAAGAGAAAACAAUAUUAACUGGAGACUGUUGUUAUAUAAAUCCACUGGUGCGCAGGACCAUCCGAUUCCUUGGAAUUUAUGCAUUUGGACUGUUUGCUACGGACAUCUUUGUAAAUGCUGGACAAGUAGUAACAGGGAAUCUUGCACCCCAUUUUCUUGCACUUUGUAAACCCAACUAUACAGCACUUGGAUGUAAACAGUAUACCCAGUUCAUCAGUAGCGUACAUGCCUGUACUGGAAAUCCAGACCUUAUCAUGAAAGCCAGAAAGACUUUCCCAUCCAAAGAAGCAGCGCUAAGCAUAUAUGCAGCUAUGUAUCUGGCUAUGUAUAUCACCAACACAGUGAAAGCCAGAGGAACAAGGCUUGCAAAACCUGUUCUGUGUUUGGGUUUAAUGUGCUUGGCGUUCCUUACUGGAAUCAACAGAGUAGCAGAGUAUCGAAAUCACUGGUCAGAUGUAAUAGCAGGAUUUGUAAUUGGAGUAUCUAUAGCAGUAUUUUUGGUUGUUUGUGUGGUAAAUAACUUCAGAGGACGUCAGCCAGAACACGAGCAAUCUCAUCUGGAUAAUCUGACCCAGAUGCCCAUGAUCAGCAUACCCAGAGUAGAAAGCCCUUUAGAAAAGGUUCAGAUGAGUUGUUGCCUCUCUCUUCCUCCCAGUGAGGCAGUGGCACCAGCACUGGGGGCUGCAUCCAAACAUUGGUGCAGCUUGAAAAUGCAGCACAGUGGCUUUUGUGAAGGUUCAUCCUGUUGGCCAGCACUUCUUUCAAUCACUGUAUUCAAUAAGGAGCCUCUGUGGGAUUGCACAGAGGAAAGGAAGUACAGAACUGUAUGAACCACUGACACCAGCUACAGGAAUACCAAAUGAUUGGUCAGCCAUGGACGAUUUUUAACUGCUCCUCUUACUGAGGAUGCUACAGCUCUGACGGUCUGUCCCAUCCUGCUCAGCAAACCAGGACCCUGCUUCUUGUGGGAGGAGAGUUCCUAAAGACAGAACAAGCUCUCUUACUUCCAGACCAGUGUCAGAACCAUCCCUGUCCUGUGCAUGUGUUUGCUAAGCCUUUCUGAGCAAACACUAGCAUGCCGUAUAUGACAGUGUCGCAAGAAUGGUUGAAGAUGGCAGAGAACCUUCACCCCUUCGCUCCUCAGGAAGUUUUCUAAAAGCAUUGUUAGACUACACUGACUAUGAGUGACAAGAGUUGCCCUCUCCAGUGCCUUGUUAACUAUGGAGAAAGAAUAGGGAUGUAGUUAAAGAGAGAACUGCCCAAGUGCCAGGACUGGAAUAGUGCGAGUCCACACUAACCGGAGUCACGGCAUCAUCCCAAGGCUGAUCUCACAGGAAUGAAGGGAACCCCACUUUAGUGCUGCUGAACUGUGCCAGAGUUGCUUUUUGUCCUUUGAAUUCAACCAGAUCAAAACUUUCUCUGGAAAGAAACACCUUAACUUGUUCUUUUUCUUUGGAUUUAUCAAUGUACUCCCACAAAUAUGGAAGAGAUAUUUAUACUAGGAAAUAUGCCCAGAAAGUGCUUAUGUACCAGUUCUCCUCCCAUCACUUACAUGCAGUUCUUUGAACAGGAAGACAAAAGCAAGACAAAAACAGAAGACUGAAGACAACACUUUAAAUAUUACACAGUGGCUUCCUUGUACGCCUGUCAGACAUUUUCCUUUUUCUCAGUGUGUUUCUACACAACUUCUAUACAGCCAGCACUAUCCUGAGUCGUGCAGAAUAAACAGAGCUGUUCCCAGAGCCUGCUAGCACUGGCAGCCCAUGGUCUAGAUGAAGAACGAGGACUGCUAGCUCGGAGCAGCCCAUGCAAUUCAAAGUGCUGAGGCAAUGGGAAAUUUCUAUGGAAAGAAAAAUGCAUGUGAGCAUGUAAAGGACUUGAAUGGCCUAUAAUGUGAGGAGUAAUGACUCUGCAAAGCCUAAAUUGGAUCAAGGAGAAUUGCUCUUGAUAUGGAAGCAGCAUAAGCAUCAAUGCACUGUGUUGAUAAGCAGAUACCUUCAUGCAGAAUUGCCAGAACUUCACUCAUAAAAGGAAAUGGAUUCAAAAUACAUAUAUGGCACCUGACGAACCUAAAUGAUGAUAAGGGUACAGCGAGUCCAGAUUAGACGGCACAUUUCAGAUCUCUAUUAUUCUGAAGAAAUCCACAUUUGUCCUGCUGACAGCAGUAGGGAGAAGUUAUUCCUCCCUGUAGUGGCAUCAGAGGACACCCUCAGCAGGAUUACCUUAUAUGAAUGAGUUUGAUAGGAGUCACCAUGGUGAGGAAAGGAUAAUGGAAUUUCAGCUCUUUUUAUCAAGUCACUACCUUGUGCUGCAAGGAACCUAAAAGGUGUUUAGAUGCUCCAGUUACAAUGCCAUCCAAAGUGUCUCUAAUUAUUCCUGAGAGGAAGCUCUUGAAUUUGGUAGUGUUUUUUGAGAAGCUGAAAGCUCUGUUUUUGUUCCUUCCUCCCUGAUGGGAAGGGGGCCAUGCUCAUGCUGCCUCCUGCAAACACCCACAGCACAGCCAAGCACUGCAAGGCAGGGCAUGGGGACACCUCCAGUGCUGAGGCUGGGAGAGGAAACAGGUGAGCUGUGGGUGCUGGGAGCACCCCGCAUGGAGAGGAUGGCUAAGCCAGGACACGCCGAGGAACAGCCCGGAUAGAGUGGAUGGCUAAACAGGACAUGCUCUGGAGGCUGGAGGCACCCAAAUCCUGUGUCCCAUGGAAAGGCAGGGACCCUCAGCUGUGCAGUGCCUCCCCUCAGACAGGAGCCCCGUGUUUCAGGCUGUACCCCCAUGGCAGUUCUUUGUCAGUGUUAUUUUCUCCAUUUUUGUUAUAUUUUUCUUCUUAAUUGAGGAAGAAGGUAGAAGAUUGAGACUCCCGUUGUGUUUCUACACUGUAAUUCUUACUAUCAGAGGAAGGUGCAAAGGUAUGCUAAGUUCAGGUGACGGCUCACAGCAGACCUCUGACAAGGGCCAUUUGACUAGUUAGGUGUCCAUAUAAAUACCUCUUUGGGACUAUAUUACUACCUUAUCAUAUAUUAUUUAGAAUUUCAUCCUGAUUAUCUAUGGUUAUUUAUUACACACUUAUGUACUUGUUAGUUCAAUAAAAAAAACAAAUUUCUGUGAAUUUAGCUGAAUAAAGCUCUGUUUGUUCCUGUUAGUUAUAUGAAGUUCUUUCUAUGCAUUAUCUCAAUUUCUGGGCAUUUUUCCCUUCAUUUGCUCCAAAAAUUACUUCAGUACUAAUGAAUACUGAAAGACAGCCAAGACAGGAUGAACUUUUGGACAAUUUAUGCAAGCAUGACAGAUGAUAAUAGAUUUACUGUAAACAUGUCAGGCACAAAAGACUUGACUGUUUUUUUUAAAUACAGUGAUACUGGAAAAGAUUUAUGGAUAUUUUCAACUGUUCAUUAAAGAGAAAAUAUUU
This is an RNA transcript of Vidua chalybeata, 4463 nucleotides long. It is a transcript of the gene named phospholipid phosphatase related 5, with no coding region annotated. Lineage: Eukaryota; Metazoa; Chordata; Aves; Passeriformes; Viduidae. The transcript has 17 exons. The record is from RefSeq and is a predicted model, not a curated record.